Molecule: transfer-messenger RNA, 597 nt
Filed under: Ralstonia insidiosa
Lineage: Bacteria; Pseudomonadati; Pseudomonadota; Betaproteobacteria; Burkholderiales; Burkholderiaceae
Description: partial transfer-messenger RNA
Rfam family: transfer-messenger RNA (bases 324-597)
Source: RNAcentral
ACGCCUAUCUGAAAGACGUCCUCACGCGACUGCCGACCCACAAGGCGGCCGACAUCGCCGAACUGCUCCCGCAUCGCUGGACGCCCAGCGCCACCUAGCUGGCAAGACGGGUUCACCGGGUGCUUACGCUUGAAAUUGGUAGCCCCGGACCUUACUCAACGCACCCGUCCGCACAUCGAGCCGGUCUGCAUACCCUAUGGAAUGUGGAUUAUUAGGGGGUAAAUAACAAUGUCACGGACACCGAACACCGAGAAAUCUCGGCGCCGUGAUGUUGAAAUGCCACACCACCCACCUGAAUUCAACAAAGUGUGGAUGUAAUUUAGGGGGGAGGAACUAACGAACGUUACGCACUGGCAGCCUAAGGGCCGCCGUCCUCGCACUGGCUCGCUGACGGGCUAGGGUCGCAAGACUAGCGAGGUCAUUUACGUCAGAUAAGCUUUAGGUGAGUCACGGGCCUAGAGACGAAAACCUAGUGAAUCGCCGUCGUAGAGCGUGUUCGUCCGCGAUGCGGCGGUUAAAUCAAAUGACAGAACUAAGUAUGUAGAACUCUCUGUGGAGGGCUUGCGGACGCGGGUUCGAUUCCCGCCGGCUCCACCA